RNAcentral lists this ribosomal RNA (253 nucleotides) under uncultured bacterium. RNAcentral's name for it is "partial 16S ribosomal RNA". It matches the Rfam family "Bacterial small subunit ribosomal RNA", at positions 524 to 776 of the family's 1533-position model. The record is from RNAcentral.
UACAGAGGUCCCAAGCGUUGUUCGGAUUCAUUGGGCGUAAAGGGUGUGUAGGUGGCGCCGUAAGUCGGGUGUGAAAUCUCGGGGCUUAACUCCGAAACUGCAUUCGAUACUGCGGUGCUUGAGGACUGGAGGGGAGACUGGAAUUCCCGGUGUAGCGGUGGAAUGCGCAGAUAUCGGGAGGAACACCCGUGGCGAAGGCGGGUCUCUGGGACGGUACUGACGCUGAGACGCGAAAGCGUGGGGAGCGAACAGG